Molecule: ribosomal RNA, 688 nt
Filed under: Staphylococcus epidermidis
Lineage: Bacteria; Bacillati; Bacillota; Bacilli; Caryophanales; Staphylococcaceae
Description: bacterial SSU rRNA
Rfam family: Bacterial small subunit ribosomal RNA
Source: RNAcentral
ACGAGGAGCUUGCUCCUCUGACGUUAGCGGCGGACGGGUGAGUAACACGUGGAUAACCUACCUAUAAGACUGGGAUAACUUCGGGAAACCGGAGCUAAUACCGGAUAAUAUAUUGAACCGCAUGGUUCAAUAGUGAAAGACGGUUUUGCUGUCACUUAUAGAUGGAUCCGCGCCGCAUUAGCUAGUUGGUAAGGUAACGGCUUACCAAGGCAACGAUGCGUACCCGACCUGAGAGGGUGAUCGGCCACACUGGAACUGAAACACGGUCCAAACUCCUACGGGAGGCAGCAGUAGGGAAUCUUCCGCAAUGGGCGAAAGCCUGACGGAGCAACGCCGCGUGAGUGAUGAAGGUCUUCGGAUCGUAAAACUCUGUUAUUAGGGAAGAACAAAUGUGUAAGUAACUAUGCACGUCUUGACGGUACCUAAUCAAAAAGCCACGGCUAACUACGUGCCAGCAGCCGCGGUAAUACGUAGGUGGCAAGCGUUAUCCGGAAUUAUUGGGCGUAAAGCGCGCGUAGGCGGUUUUUUAAGUCUGAUGUGAAAGCCCACGGCUCAACCGUGGAGGGUCAUUGGAAACUGGAAAACUUGAGUGCAAAAGAGGAAAGUGGAAUUCCAUGUGUAGCGGUGAAAUGCGCAGAGAUUGGAGGAACACAGUGGCGAAGGCGACUUUCUGGUCUGUAACUGACGC